AGAUUUGGAAAGACUGUGGCCACCAAGUCUUUUAAGUGACAUAGGAGGCUAGCGUGUGAAGGUAACAUAGACAGAGAAGCUAGAGCAAAUUGAACCCCGAAUGCCUACAGAUGAAGAUACUCCGGAAAACGCCUUUUUGAUGCAGGAAGGUUCCAAUCGAUAUCUGACUGUAUUUAAGGCCCACUACAUGCCAGGGAACCCAUGCCUGACACUGCUCAGCUGACUAAGAAUCUGAGAUUAGAUCAGUGCCCUGCUCAGCCGGCAUCAGAGGGGCUUCCUCAUGCCCAGAUGGGAACAAAUCCAGAGACUCACAGCCAAUGUGCAGAGAGUGAGACCUUGGAACACGCAGUUGUUUGUACCAUGUUUGCCAGGUUUUUUGUUUGGUUGUUUGUUUUUUAUCUUACAGGCCCUUUGUGUAUAUAUUACAGCUUCUGGAACUUCCUGUUUUGAGUUUUUAUGGGAUACCUGUGUGUGUGUGUGUGUGUGUUUCUUCAUCCAUGUGUUUCUUGUGCUUUUUCUUUACUUUUUUUUCUUCUGCUCGUUUUGUCUUAUCCCAAUUUGUCUGUUUUUGUUUCAUCUUAUUUUACUUUACUAUCAUUAUCUAAAUGUCCAUUUGUUUUAUAGUAAGACAGAAGGGUGUGAAUUCAGAUGGGAGGAGACUUGGGAACAAUCUGGGACGAGUUGGGGGAAGAGAAACUAUAAUCAAAACAUUGACAAAAAUAAUCUAUUUUUAGUGGAAGAAAAAAAUGGAAGAAAAAAGUCAGUUAAGA
Mesocricetus auratus (golden hamster) is the source of this 770-nucleotide long non-coding RNA. RefSeq lists it as uncharacterized. The transcript has 4 exons. Lineage: Eukaryota; Metazoa; Chordata; Mammalia; Rodentia; Cricetidae. The record is from RefSeq and is a predicted model, not a curated record.